Long non-coding RNA from Chelonia mydas (Green sea turtle), 749 nucleotides. RefSeq lists it as uncharacterized. NCBI's taxonomy places the organism in Eukaryota, Metazoa, Chordata, Testudines, Cheloniidae. The transcript has 3 exons. The record is from RefSeq and is a predicted model, not a curated record.
UCCUCCAGAUUCAGAGUCAUUUAUCCCCUUGAGCUACAAGCUAAUUCCCAUGGAUAUGAAGGGGAAUUUUGUGCAUGGAUAAAGAGCACAAUGUAGCCCAAGUCCAUACACCAGGUUUUCCACCAUGUAACUAUUUCAGCAAGGGUACCUUUUGGAGCACGGAAGUCUGUACAGUCCCUAGGCUUUCCCUGGAGUUAAUGUGCGAGCAUGAGAAUGAGAAAUUGUCAAGUGUGGAACAGAAGGCACAGCUGAUGGUGGAGACUAUGGAGUUAACAGACAUACAGAGGAAACCACUUGUCCCCCGACAUGAUGGACCUUUUCUAGUCAUCGCAAGCAAGUUCCAUUAUUAAGGAAAUCUAACUGAGAAGCAUUAUCCAAGGUCAUGGGAUUACCCUGGUGGAUCUAAAAACCUGAACUUACAAGAGGUGGCUUAAGGAAGCAGCAUGCAUGGAGGCUUCAAAAAACAAAAAUCUGCACUUCUCUUGACAAGACCGUUCAGGUGCAGUUGGGCCACUUAUUGAGGAAACAAGUGAAAAGGAGACAAAUGAUAGGUCAAGACACAGCCCCAGUGAACGCAGGUGGACCCUUCUCCAAGGAAGAACAUUGGAGUUGCCAUCCUGGCCCCAUUAGUGGCCAAUUACUCAAUGAUCCAAAGAAAGGUGAGAGUCCUGUUACCAUGGCCUUACCCUCUCCCCCAUAUUACAUCCGUCUUUUGCAUUCCAUUCUUAAUUAUUUUAUAAGCUCUUAGU